AGAGUUUGAUCCUGGCUCAGGAUGAACGCUGACAGAAUGCUUAACACAUGCAAGUCGACUCGAGUCUUCGGACUUGGGUGGCGCACGGGUGAGUAACGCGUAAAGAACUUGCCUCUUAGACCGGGACAACAUCUGGAAACGGAUGCUAAUACCGGAUAUUAUGGUUUUUUCGCAUGGAGGAAUCAUGAAAGCUAGAUGCGCUAAGAGAGAGCUUUGCGUCCCAUUAGCUAGUUGGAGAGGUAACGGCUCACCAAGGCGAUGAUGGGUAGCCGGCCUGAGAGGGUGAACGGCCACAAGGGGACUGAGACACGGCCCUUACUCCUACGGGAGGCAGCAGUGGGGAAUAUUGGACAAUGGACCAAGAGUCUGAUCCAGCAAUUCUGUGUGCACGAUGAAGUUUUUCGGAAUGUAAAGUGCUUUCAGUUGGGAAGAAGAAAGUGACGGUACCAACAGAAGAAGCGACGGCUAAAUACGUGCCAGCAGCCGCGGUAAUACGUAUGUCGCAAGCGUUAUCCGGAUUUAUUGGGCGUAAAGCGCGUCUAGGUGGUUGCAUAAGUCUGAUGUGAAAAUGCGGGGCUCAACUCCGUAUUGCGUUGGAAACUGUGCGACUAGAGUACUGGAGAGGUAAGCGGAACUACAAGUGUAGAGGUGAAAUUCGUAGAUAUUUGUAGGAAUGCCGAUGGGGAAGCCAGCUUACUGGACAGAUACUGACGCUAAAGCGCGAAAGCGUGGGUAGCAAACAGGAUUAGAUACCCUGGUAGUCCACGCCGUAAACGAUGAUUACUAGGUGUUGGGGGUCGAACCUCAGCGCCCAAGCUAACGCGAUAAGUAAUCCGCCUGGGGAGUACGUACGCAAGUAUGAAACUCAAAGGAAUUGACGG
Molecule: ribosomal RNA, 881 nt
Filed under: uncultured bacterium
Lineage: Bacteria
Description: bacterial SSU rRNA
Rfam family: Bacterial small subunit ribosomal RNA
Source: RNAcentral